UGCACUUGUAGCCCAAUUGGUAAGAGGCGCCUAAUUCAGAAUUAGGAGGCUGUAGAUUCAAGUUCUGCCAGGUGCAU
This 77-nucleotide transfer RNA is filed under the name Rivularia sp. IAM M-261. Its description in RNAcentral is "tRNA-Leu". It matches the Rfam family "tRNA". From Rfam's summary of the family: Transfer RNA (tRNA) molecules are approximately 80 nucleotides in length. Their secondary structure includes four short double-helical elements and three loops (D, anti-codon, and T loops). Lineage: Bacteria; Bacillati; Cyanobacteriota; Cyanophyceae; Nostocales; Rivulariaceae. The record is from RNAcentral.